UACGUAGGGUGCAAGCGUUGUCCGGAAUUAUUGGGCGUAAAGAGCUCGUAGGCGGUCUGUCGCGUCGGCUGUGAAAUCCCGAGGCUCAACCUCGGGUCUGCAGUCGAUACGGGCAAACUAGAGUAUUGCAGGGGAGACUGGAAUUCCUGGUGUAGCGGUGAAAUGCGCAGAUAUCAGGAGGAACACCGGUGGCGAAGGCGGGUCUCUGGGCAAUAACUGACGCUGAGGCGCGAAAGCUAGGGGAGCAAACGGG
This 253-nucleotide ribosomal RNA is filed under the name uncultured bacterium. Its description in RNAcentral is "partial 16S ribosomal RNA". It matches the Rfam family "Bacterial small subunit ribosomal RNA", at positions 524 to 776 of the family's 1533-position model. The record is from RNAcentral.